This is a transfer RNA of Oenococcus oeni, 83 nucleotides long. It matches the Rfam family "tRNA". Rfam says of the family: Transfer RNA (tRNA) molecules are approximately 80 nucleotides in length. Their secondary structure includes four short double-helical elements and three loops (D, anti-codon, and T loops). The record is from Rfam. Lineage: Bacteria; Bacillati; Bacillota; Bacilli; Lactobacillales; Lactobacillaceae.
GGGAGUGUAGCGAAGUGGUUAAACGCUGCGGACUGUAAAUCCGCCCUCUUACGAGUUCGUAGGUUCGAAUCCUACCGCUCCCA